CCUACGGGAGGCUGCAGUGAGGAAUAUUGGUCAAUGGGCGAGAGCCUGAACCAGCCAAGUCGCGUGAAGGAUUACUGCCCUAUGGGUUGUAAACCUCUUUUGUCGGGGAGCAAAAUCCGAACAUGUCCGGCUGUCAGACUACCCGAAGCAUAAGCAUCGGCUAACUCCGUGCCAGCAGCCGCAGUAAUACGGAGGAUGCGAGCGUUAUCCGGAUUUAUUGGGUUUAAAGGGUACGCAGGCGGAUUGUUAAGUCAGCGGUAAACUCCCGGGGCUCAACCCCAUCCCGCCGUUGAAACUGGUGAUCUAGAGUGAGAGAGAGGUAUGCGGAAUGCGUGGUGUAGCGGUGAAAUGCAUAGAUAUCACGCAGAACCCCGAAUGCGAAGGCAGCAUACCGGUGCACAACUGACGCUCAGGCACGAAAGCGUGGGUAUCGAACAGGAUUAGAUACCCCUGUAGUC
RNAcentral lists this ribosomal RNA (458 nucleotides) under uncultured bacterium. RNAcentral describes it as "partial 16S ribosomal RNA". It matches the Rfam family "Bacterial small subunit ribosomal RNA", at positions 338 to 795 of the family's 1533-position model. The record is from RNAcentral.